UUCAGUGAAAUCGAGUAGGGCGGGACACGUGAUAUCCUGUCUGAAUAUGGGGGGACCAUCCUCCAAGGCUAAAUACUACUGACUGACCGAUAGUGAACCAGUACCGUGAGGGAAAGGCGAAAAGAACCCCUGUGAGGGGAGUGAAAUAGAACCUGAAACCGUGUACGUACAAGCAGUAGGAGCAGGCUUUGUCCUGUGACUGCGUACCUUUUGUAUAAUGGGUCAGCGACUUAUAUUCAGUGGCAAGGUUAACCAUCUAGGGGAGCCGUAGGGAAACCGAGUCUUAACUGGGCGUUCAGUCUCUGGAUAUAGACCCGAAACCAGGUGAUCUAGCCAUGGGCAGGUUGAAGGUUGAGUAACAUCAACUGGAGGACCGAACCGACUAAUGUUGAAAAAUUAGCGGAUGACUUGUGGCUAGGGGUGAAAGGCCAAUCAAACCUGGAGAUAGCUGGUUCUCCCCGAAAGCUAUUUAGGUAGCGCCUCGGACGAAUACUACUGGGGGUAGAGCACUGUUAAGGCUAGGGGGUCAUCCCGACUUACCAACCCUUUGCAAACUCCGAAUACCAGUAAGUACUAUCCGGGAGACACACGGCGGGUGCUAACGUCCGUCGUGGAGAGGGAAACAACCCAGACCGCCAGCUAAGGUCCCAAAUUACUACUAAGUGGGAAACGAUGUGGGAAGGCUCAGACAGCCAGGAUGUUGGCUUAGAAGCAGCCAUCAUUUAAAGAAAGCGUAAUAGCUCACUGGUCGAGUCGGCCUGCGCGGAAGAUGUAACGGGGCUAAGUAGUAAACCGAAGCUGCGGCAAUGUGCUUUUGCAC
This 820-nucleotide ribosomal RNA is filed under the name Vibrio parahaemolyticus. RNAcentral's name for it is "partial 23S ribosomal RNA". It matches the Rfam family "Bacterial large subunit ribosomal RNA", at positions 398 to 1222 of the family's 2925-position model. Lineage: Bacteria; Pseudomonadati; Pseudomonadota; Gammaproteobacteria; Vibrionales; Vibrionaceae. The record is from RNAcentral.